This 500-nucleotide ribosomal RNA is filed under the name uncultured bacterium. RNAcentral's name for it is "partial 16S ribosomal RNA". It matches the Rfam family "Bacterial small subunit ribosomal RNA", at positions 28 to 507 of the family's 1533-position model. The record is from RNAcentral.
GACGAACGCUGGCGGCGUGCCUAAUACAUGCAAGUCGUGCGGACCUUGUUGAAAGCUUGCUUUUAAAAGGUUAGCGGCGGACGGGUGAGUAACACGUGGGCAACCUGCCUGUAAGACUGGGAUAACGCCGGGAAACCGGGGCUAAUACCAGAUCGUUUUUUCCUCCGCAUGGAGGAAAAAGGAAAGGCGGCUUCGGCUGCCACUUACAGAUGGGCCCGCGGCGCAUUAGCUAGUUGGCGGGGUAAUGGCCCACCAAGGCAACGAUGCGUAGCCGACCUGAGAGGGUGAUCGGCCACAUUGGGACUGAGACACGGCCCAAACUCCUACGGGAGGCAGCAGUAGGGAAUCUUCCGCAAUAGACGAAAGUCUGACGGAGCAACGCCGCGUGAGUGAAGAAGGCCUUCGGGUCGUAAAACUCUGUUGCCGGGGAAGAACAAGUGCCGUUCGAACAGGGCGGCGCCUUGACGGUACCCGGCCAGAAAGCCACGGCCAACUACGUG